This is a non-coding RNA of Lactuca sativa (garden lettuce), 2197 nucleotides long. The record is from RefSeq and is a predicted model, not a curated record. NCBI's taxonomy places the organism in Eukaryota, Viridiplantae, Streptophyta, Magnoliopsida, Asterales, Asteraceae.
CCCUGUCGCACCGCCUCCUCUCCAAUCAAAUUUCAUCCACCGCUUCCACUGCCUUCUACCGCCUUUCUCUGCUUUUUCUUUCUUCACGAUCCCUUCCCUAUCUGCUAUUCAACGCAUUCUCUGUAGAAAUCGAUUCACCCAAAACCUGUGUGUGCUUCUGAUCCAGACUUCGUCGAAUUUCUGUCGACCUUCAGUUCCUUGUGUGUCCUGUUUUUGACAUGUGUUCUACUCCUAUGCCUUAUGUUUUUAGGGCAGAAGCAGCCGAAAUCGACACCGACCCUCCUUCUAUACAUCCACACCUGCCUUCUUACUGCUAUUAUGCCCACCUUGCUAUUGUGACCACCCAGUCCAAAGUGAAGCAUAGUCGAUUCCGUGUCAUUUUCCUCUAGCAAAGCAGAGAAAUCAAGCAACGAUGUUCGGCGAGAUUUUCCCCAAAUCGACCCCUUUCACAAGUUACUGUGUCGCGAGAGCACUCUGAAUCGACAUCGACUGGAAUAGAUCAUCGUUCCCUCUUCCAAUUGCACUAAUCAGUUCUUCCCCCAAUAUUCAUUUGAUUAAUCAAAACCCCAAUUUAAUUAACUAUUUUUGUAUGAUACCACUACACUCCAGUCUUCCAAACGAAGUUUUAAUUCCUUUUAGGACAAUCAAUUAAAAAAUUGAUGUUCAUCUUUUUUGCAGGAAGAAUCACAUAUUUCUUAGAUUACGUCUCAUAAUGAAAGAUUAUUAUGGAACAUGAUCAUCAUUUAGCAUCGUCUCUUUAUCUCCCAAGAAAUAAUAUCAGUGCACAUCAGGUGCUCUACAAAAUGUGCGAAAGAAUGUUCGAAGCUUUUUUGACCAAGAAUAUUCGGAGCUUCUUUUGUCAUGGGUCUCUAUUGAAGCUUCAAACAUUUUUUAAUGUUAACAUCACCAACAUGGCUAAUUUUUAAUCGAAGAGGCUUCACUACUAGAAUAAGUAAUGAACAUGGACCAAAAUAGGUUUAUCUUGAAAAUAUGAUAGACCAUCAAGAUGGUUUUCAAAGGAUGGCUAAAUGGUGGACACAAUUAAUGAAUAUGGUCACUUACAGAGCGAACGGCAACGUCUCUUGGAAAUUCAACUUCAGCUUCACCAUCAUUUGGGCCACCGGUAGUCAUAUCAGGAUUUUAUCAUUUUCCAAAAAGAUUUCUCCACAUAUGUUCAUCAAGUUUGCACACCUAUGUUUCUGGACCAGGAUCAAAGUUAGAGCGUUCUCACAAUUUCCUAAUUCAUGGCUUUAGUGGUCAAUUCCGCCAUUCAAAAACUUUCCACCCUUCAACUUAAUGAACUCUACACAUCUUCAUCUCCUAAUCUCCAAAAAACCUCUCAAUUCUAUCUCCCGAACAUAUAGAGCUCGGAAAGAUGUUGUUGGAAACGGGGCAUGUUCAUUGUUUGAAAAUUGGUAUGAUCCUAGUGUUGAUGACGAUGAUAAAAAAAGCUCUGAUUGCUCAAGUAAUUUUACUUGCUGCUAGGCUAAUGUGAUGAAUCAGGCAAUUAAUUUAGGUAGAUCUGCUUAAUUCAAGCUACCCUGGAGGUUUGGCAUCAUAUAUCAAGACUAUUAGAGAACUCUUGGCAUUCAUUUGUCCGUUAUCAGCUCUCCUUAGGGAGAUCGAGGAUAAACUUUACUAAAUGAUGUUGGAAAAUGUAUCAAAAAGAAAGAAAAUAAGCUCUUCAUUGAAAGGGAGAAGCUGAGAAAGCAGUCCUUGAUGAAGUUAGAAAUACAGGAGCAAGUUAGAGAGAGGCAAUAAAUGGAAAAGACGAUGCAAAAACUCAUUAAGACGAUGGAUCACUUUGAAAAGGAAAAAAAGGAAGAGGUUGCCCCUCUCAUUGAAGCUGCUUUCCAAAAGUAUUUAGCUAAAGAUAAACUUUGUCGUAAACACCAUCAACUAUCUGAGUAAAUGAAGCUGAAAAUGUUACUUUAAAUGUUCUAUUUCAUCAGAGUAAACAACAAAAAUAACAACAAAUCUAGAAAAUACAUUCCGUUUGCAUGGAUCUCUUCACUAGUUUUACUUAAAAAGAUUAACCAAAUAUAAAUAUGUUUGAGUCGAUAUGCAUUUGCUAACAGAUGAACAUAACUAUUUUUAGGUCGAUAUGUAUCUGGAAAAAGAACAUAAAGAAGUAACAUGACAUGCGUUUUUUUUUUUUGAGAAAUGUGUGUUGUAAUUUUUUUUUAUUAAUAAUAGA